Molecule: ribosomal RNA, 372 nt
Filed under: uncultured organism
Description: partial 16S ribosomal RNA
Rfam family: Bacterial small subunit ribosomal RNA
Source: RNAcentral
GUAGGUGGCAAGCGUUGUCCGGAAUUAUUGGGCGUAAAGCGCGCGCAGGCGGUCCUUUAAGUCUGAUGUGAAAGCCCACGGCUCAACCGUGGAGGGUCAUUGGAAACUGGGGGACUUGAGUACAGAAGAGGUAAGCGGAAUUCCAAGUGUAGCGGUGAAAUGCGUAGAGAUUUGGAGGAACACCAGUGGCGAAGGCGGCUUUCUGGUCUGUAACUGACGCUGAGGCGCGAAAGCGUGGGGAGCAAACAGGGAUUAGAUACCCUGGUAGUCCACGCCGUAAACGAUGAGUGCUAAGUGUUAGGGGGUUUCCCGCCCCUUAGUGCUGCAGCUAACGCAUUAAGCACUCCGCCUGGGGAUACGGCCGCAAGGCUG